UUGAACGCUGGCGGCGGGCCUAACACAUGCAAGUCGAGCGGAUGAAGGGAGCUUGCUCCUGGAUUCAGCGGCGGACGGGUGAGUAAUGCCUAGGAAUCUGCCUGGUAGUGGGGGAUAACGUCCGGAAACGGGCGCUAAUACCGCAUACGUCCUGAGGGAGAAAGUGGGGGAUCUUCGGACCUCACGCUAUCAGAUGAGCCUAGGUCGGAUUAGCUAGUUGGUGGGGUAAAGGCCUACCAAGGCGACGAUCCGUAACUGGUCUGAGAGGAUGAUCAGUCACACUGGAACUGAGACACGGUCCAGACUCCUACGGGAGGCAGCAGUGGGGAAUAUUGGACAAAGGGCGAAAGCCUGAUCCAGCCAUGCCGCGUGUGUGAAGAAGGUCUUCGGAUUGUAAAGCACUUUAAGUUGGGAGGAAGGGCAGUAAGUUAAUACCUUGCUGUUUUGACGUUACCAACAGAAUAAGCACCGGCUAACUUCGUG
This 483-nucleotide ribosomal RNA is filed under the name uncultured bacterium. RNAcentral's name for it is "partial 16S ribosomal RNA". It matches the Rfam family "Bacterial small subunit ribosomal RNA", at positions 30 to 507 of the family's 1533-position model. The record is from RNAcentral.